AACAGGAUUAGAUACCCUGGUAGUCCACGCCCUAAACGAUGUCUACUAGUUGUCGGGUUUUAAUUAACUUGGUAACGCAGCUAACGCGUGAAGUAGACCGCCUGGGGAGUACGGUCGCAAGAUUAAAACUCAAAGGAAUUGACGGGGACCCGCACAAGCGGUGGAUGAUGUGGAUUAAUUCGAUGCAACGCGAAAAACCUUACCUACCCUUGACAUGUACGGAAGCCACGAGAGAUCGAGGUGUGCUCGAAAGAGAGCCGUAACACAGGUGCUGCAUGGCUGUCGUCAGCUCGUGUCGUGAGAUGUUGGGUUAAGUCCCGCAACGAGCGCAACCCUUGUCAUUAGUUGCUACGAAAGAGCACUCUAAUGAGACUGCCGGUGACAAACCGGAGGAAGGUGGGGAUGACGUCAAGUCCUCAUGGCCCUUAUGGGUAGGGCUUCACACGUCAUACAAUGGUACAUACAGAGGGCCGCCAACCCGCGAGGGGGAGCUAAUCCCAGAAAGUGUAUCGUAGUCCGGAUUGUAGUCUGCAACUCGACUGCAUGAAGUUGGAAUCGCUAGUAAUCGCGGAUCAGCAUGUCGCGGUGAAUACGUUCCCGGGUCUUGUACACACCGCCCGUCACACCAUGGGAGCGGGUUUUACCAGAAGUAGGUAGCUUAACCGUAAGGAGGGCGCUUACCACGGUAGGAUUCGUGACUGGGGUGAAGUCGUAACAAGGUAACC
RNAcentral lists this ribosomal RNA (725 nucleotides) under uncultured bacterium. RNAcentral's name for it is "bacterial SSU rRNA". It matches the Rfam family "Bacterial small subunit ribosomal RNA", at positions 771 to 1501 of the family's 1533-position model. The record is from RNAcentral.